GAUGAACGCUGGCGGCGUGCCUAAUACAUGCAAGUCGAGCGAACAGACGAGGAGCUUGCUCCUCUGACGUUAGCGGCGGACGGGUGAGUAACACGUGGAUAACCUACCUAUAAGACUGGGAUAACUUCGGGAAACCGGAGCUAAUACCGGAUAAUAUAUUGAACCGCAUGGUUCAAUAGUGAAAGACGGUUUUGCUGUCACUUAUAGAUGGAUCCGCGCCGCAUUAGCUAGUUGGUAAGGUAACGGCUUACCAAGGGAACGAUGCGUAGCCGACCUGAGAGAGUGAUCGGCCACACUGGAACUGAGACACGGUCCAGACUCCUACGGGAGGCAGCAGUAGGGAAUCUUCCGCAAUAGGCGAAAGCCUGACGGAGCAACGCCGCGUGAGUGAUGAAGGUCUUCGGAUCGUAAAACUCUGUUAUUAGGGAAGAACAAAUGUGUAAGUAACUAUGCACGUAUUGACGGUACCUAAUCAGAAAGCCACGGCUAACUACGUG
This 497-nucleotide ribosomal RNA is filed under the name uncultured bacterium. RNAcentral's name for it is "partial 16S ribosomal RNA". It matches the Rfam family "Bacterial small subunit ribosomal RNA", at positions 28 to 507 of the family's 1533-position model. The record is from RNAcentral.